UGGGGAAUAUUGCACAAUGGAGGGAACUCUGAUGCAGCGACGCCGCGUGAACGAAGAAGGCUUUCGAGUCGUAAAGUUCUUUUAUAUGGGAAGAUAAUGACGGUACCAUAAGAAAAAGCCCCGGCUAACUACGUGCCAGCAGCCGCGGUAAUACGUAGGGGGCUAGCGUUGUCCGGAAUCACUGGGCGUAAAGGGUUCGCAGGCGGAAAAGCAAGUCAGGUGUAAAAAGCAGUAGCUUAACUACUGUAAGCAUUUGUAACUGCAUAUCUUGAGAAGAGUAGAGGUAAGUGGAAUUUUUAGUGUAGCGGUGAGAUGCGUAGAUAUUAAAAGGAAUACCGGUGGCGAAGGCGGCUUACUGGGCUCAUUCUGACGCUGAGGAACGAAAGCGUGGGUAGCAAACAGG
This 403-nucleotide ribosomal RNA is filed under the name bacterium. Its description in RNAcentral is "partial 16S ribosomal RNA". It matches the Rfam family "Bacterial small subunit ribosomal RNA", at positions 355 to 776 of the family's 1533-position model. The record is from RNAcentral.